GUGCUUGCUUUGGCAGCACAUAUACUAAAAUUGGAAUGAUACAGAGAAGAUUAGCAUGGCCCCUGAAAAAAAAAUACAGAAAUUCAGCCUGAACAAUAAUACUGCCAA
This is a small nuclear RNA of Suncus etruscus (white-toothed pygmy shrew), 108 nucleotides long. The record is from RefSeq and is a predicted model, not a curated record. NCBI's taxonomy places the organism in Eukaryota, Metazoa, Chordata, Mammalia, Eulipotyphla, Soricidae.